This 176-nucleotide ribosomal RNA is filed under the name Phoma sp. CCF3798. Its description in RNAcentral is "5.8S ribosomal RNA". The stretch from base 13 to 166 matches the Rfam family "5.8S ribosomal RNA". From Rfam's summary of the family: 5.8S ribosomal RNA (5.8S rRNA) is a component of the large subunit of the eukaryotic ribosome. It is transcribed by RNA polymerase I as part of the 45S precursor that also contains 18S and 28S rRNA. Lineage: Eukaryota; Fungi; Ascomycota; Dothideomycetes; Pleosporales; Didymellaceae. The record is from RNAcentral.
CUUAAUAGUUACAACUUUCAACAACGGAUCUCUUGGUUCUGGCAUCGAUGAAGAACGCAGCGAAAUGCGAUAAGUAGUGUGAAUUGCAGAAUUCAGUGAAUCAUCGAAUCUUUGAACGCACAUUGCGCCCCUUGGUAUUCCAUGGGGCAUGCCUGUUCGAGCGUCAUUUGUACCUU